RNAcentral lists this ribosomal RNA (205 nucleotides) under uncultured bacterium. RNAcentral's name for it is "partial 16S ribosomal RNA". It matches the Rfam family "Bacterial small subunit ribosomal RNA", at positions 568 to 774 of the family's 1533-position model. The record is from RNAcentral.
AGCGUAGGUGGAUAUUUAAGUGGGAUGUGAAAUACUCGGGCUCAACCUGAGUGCUGCAUUCCAAACUGGUUAUCUAGAGUGCAGGAGAGGAAAGUAGAAUUCCUAGUGUAGCGGUGAAAUGCGUAGAGAUUAGGAAGAAUACCAUGGCGAAGGCGACUUCUGGACUGUAACUGACACUGAGGCUCGAAAGCGUGGGGAGCAAACA